RNAcentral lists this ribosomal RNA (433 nucleotides) under uncultured bacterium. RNAcentral describes it as "partial 16S ribosomal RNA". It matches the Rfam family "Bacterial small subunit ribosomal RNA", at positions 29 to 507 of the family's 1533-position model. The record is from RNAcentral.
AACGAACGCUGGCGGCAUGCCUAACACAUGCAAGUCGAACGAGACCUUCGGGUCUAGUGGCGCACGGGUGCGUAACGCGUGGGAACCUGCCCUUAGGUUCGGAAUAACUCCCCGAAAGGGGUGCUAAUACCGGAUAAUGUCUUCGGACCAAAGAUUUAUCGCCUUUGGAUGGGCCCGCGUUGGAUUAGCUAGUUGGUAGGGUAAAAGCCUACCAAGGCGACGAUCCAUAGCUGGUCUGAGAGGAUGAUCAGCCACACUGGGACUGAGACACGGCCCAGACUCCUACAGGAGGCAGCGGUGGGGAGUAUUAGACAAUGGGCGAAAGCCUGAUCCAGCAGUGCCGCGUGAGUGAUGAAGGCCUUAGGGUUGUAAAGCUCUUUUACCCGGGAGGAUAAUGACGGUACCGGGAGAAUAAGCUCCGGCUAACUCCGUG